This 221-nucleotide unclassified non-coding RNA is filed under the name fungal sp. RNAcentral describes it as "partial internal transcribed spacer region". The stretch from base 1 to 46 matches the Rfam family "Eukaryotic small subunit ribosomal RNA", at positions 1786 to 1831 of the family's 1831-position model. The record is from RNAcentral. Lineage: Eukaryota; Fungi. RNAcentral also lists the same sequence under 1 other name.
AAGUCGUAACAAGGUUUCCGUAGGUGAACCUGCGGAAGGAUCAUUAACAAAUCAUGAUGGUGUCAGUGCCGCAAGGCCUGUCCCAUAUACACCCGAACGCCCGCAAGGGCGUGAGGUCGGCGAAGGGAGCAAUCCCGGAGCCACAUAGACGCUUGUAUGUUUGACAGAGUAUGGUUGACACUUUAAAAUGACAACUUUUAACAAUGGAUCUCUUGGCUCUU